UUAAGUUGUUCCUUGUAAUUAUCUUAAUCAUCUCCAGCAACAACAAAACAACUUCUCUUCCGCAGACAAGGAUUCGCAGUACAAGCUGAUUGGUUAGU
Long non-coding RNA from Sander lucioperca (pikeperch), 98 nucleotides. RefSeq lists it as uncharacterized. NCBI's taxonomy places the organism in Eukaryota, Metazoa, Chordata, Actinopteri, Perciformes, Percidae. The record is from RefSeq and is a predicted model, not a curated record. The transcript has 3 exons.